Molecule: ribosomal RNA, 362 nt
Filed under: uncultured bacterium
Lineage: Bacteria
Description: partial 16S ribosomal RNA
Rfam family: Bacterial small subunit ribosomal RNA
Source: RNAcentral
CCUACGGGUGGCAGCAGUGGGGAAUAUUGCACAAUGGGGGAAACCCUGAUGCAGCGACGCCGCGUGAGUGAGGAAGGAUUUCGGUAUGGAAAGCUCUAUCAGCAGGGAAGAAAAUGACGGUACCUGACGAAGAAGCCACGGCUAACUACGUGCCCGCAGCCGCGGUAAUACGUAGGGGGCAAGCGUUAUCCGGAUUUACUGGGUGUAAAGGGAGCGUAGACGGGUAAUCAAGUCAGAAGUGAAAACCAAGGGCUCCACCUUGGGACUGCUUUGGAAACUGCGUAGCUAGAGUGCAGGAGAGGUAAGCCGAAUUCCUCGUGUAGCGGUGAACUGCGUAGAUAUUAGGAGGCACCCCAGUGGCG